AAACCCAUCAAGCCUCGGCUUGGUCUUGGGGCCUGCGGUUUCGCAGCCUCUAAACGCAGUGGCGGUGCUAUCGAGCUCUGAGCGUAGUAAAUCUCCUCGCUAUAGGGCCUCGGUAGUUGCUUGCCAACAACCCCCAACUUUCUCA
RNAcentral lists this unclassified non-coding RNA (145 nucleotides) under uncultured Tetrachaetum. Its description in RNAcentral is "sequence contains ITS2". The record is from RNAcentral. Lineage: Eukaryota; Fungi; Ascomycota.